Molecule: long non-coding RNA, 1949 nt
Filed under: Salmo salar (Atlantic salmon)
Lineage: Eukaryota; Metazoa; Chordata; Actinopteri; Salmoniformes; Salmonidae
Description: lncRNA (ENSSSAG00000088476.1, ENSSSAG00000101268.1)
Source: RNAcentral
CAGGGAAGGAGAAGAGAGAGAGACUAGAGGGAAAGAGAGAGGGAAGGAGAAGAGAGAGAGACUGAUGUAGCAGAGUGAGAAGUAAAAGGUUCCUUUAAUACGAGACUGAAUAGAUCUGAGUACACAGCCCUGAAGGACACACUGUUAGAGGAGAGAAAGAGAGGGGGAUGAGGAGAGAUGCAGAGAGUUGAAAGAGGGGCAGAGAGGAGGAGAACAAAUUCCAAUGGUCCUUACUUUCUCUGUUCCUACUGUGACUGAUUCAAUCUGUAUCUCCUCCUCUCCAUUCGGUCCUGAUGGAACCACAGACCACAAAAGGUUGUUGUGGUGGUUGUCUGUCCUCCUCUCCUUCCAUCCAUCCAUCCAUCCCUCCUUCCCCUCCUCUCCCCUCCUAUAUCCCUUACCCACUGCACUACCUCUUCUCUGUACCUCCCUCCCUCCUGUAACAGGACAGGGCUUGGUUGGCCUGGUGCCCGGCUGGCUGGCUGGCUGGCUGGCUGGCUGAGACAAAUGGCCCAGUCUGGCUGGGACUGGGGAUGGCGGGCGGGAUGGAGGGAGGGAGGGAGAGAGGGAGGGAGGGGUCCUAGGGUGUGGGGAAGUGUGCUGGGGCAUUGAUUUGCUAUUCCAAUGAUCCCUGCUUACAGUGAAUUACACUUGGCUGUACUCAGGCUUAAGUGUGUAUAAAUAAUCACCCAGAUUUGCCAGAUAAUGUAUUGUCCACAUAACAAAAUUACCAAGCCUCUGUCUGCUCCCCCAAAACAUCAACAAUAAAACAGUAAUAAAAGUGCAGUGCAUUACGACUGGAUGGGAAGUUCCAUCGUGUAUAGCUGUUUUUGACACACUUGAGUUGAAAAGGCACAGUGAGAUACUUAACAGUUAGUUCAAGUGAUGACCUUGGUAAAAAUUCUGUUGAUGCAGAAUUUUUGUAUUUUCUUUUUCUUACUCUCCGGAAUUUCCCUUUUCUCUUUUGAGUGUAUCACUUUAUUUUUCAUUUGGAUUGUUUCUCCUCCGUUUGCCAGCCCCUCAAUUUAGGGUGGGCAUUCUUUCUUUACAUCUUUCACAAGUGAAUGUAGAGUAAGAACUGUCAGACCAAGCACACAUAGCUACAAAACAUUGUAAUGUUUGUGUGAAUAUUCAAGAGAGAAGUGAGCUGCAUUUGGCAGGUAAAGCGAUAGGGACUCAAGCCGUAGUACUAAUGUGAGUGUAAUCUUCUCUACACAGCACUAUAUAUCAUACAGCCUGUGUGUUUGCGAAUAGGCCCCUAUGGAGCAAGAGGCAGAGAUUAGAGCAGGAGAGGCAUGUUUAACACAAUGAGACACAGAGACAGCAGCCAAACACACACGUACACACACACACACACACACACACAUACACAAACACACACACGCACACAUACACAAACACACACACAUAAACACACACACACACACAGCACUUUAUCAGUCUGGAUGAUGCCAGCCGAGCAGCAGGGGAAAACGGCAGCGGAGGAGAGAGAGAAAAGGAGAGGAGGAGAGGAGAGGAAGAGGAGAGGAGGAAAGGAGGAGAAGAGGAGGAGAGAGGGAGAGCUUGGGGUUUACCUGGUGCCAGGGUAAUUGCUUUGGCAACUGCCACUGUAAUCACACUAAAAAGCUGCCUCUGGAUCUUCAUUUGAAAAUGCAGAAAGGAGCAAGAUCAAAAGAGGGACGAAGGGGUGAGGUAGAAGUGGAGAAUAAGAGAAGGGGAGAGAGAGGGGACAUAAACAGGUAAGGGGUGAGGUAGAGGUGGAGAGUAAGAGGAGGGGGAGAGAGAGGGGACAGAAACAGGUAAGGGGUGAGGUAGAGGUGGAGAAUAAGAGGAGGGGGAGAGAGAGGGGACAGAAACAGGUAAGGGGUGAGGUAGAGGUGGAGAAUAAGAGGAGGGGGAGAGAGAGGGGACAGAAACAGGUAAGGGGUGAGGUAGAGGUGGAGAAUAAG